This 149-nucleotide small nuclear RNA is filed under the name Salvator merianae (Argentine black and white tegu). Its description in RNAcentral is "U12 minor spliceosomal RNA (ENSSMRG00000013659.1)". It matches the Rfam family "U12 minor spliceosomal RNA". Rfam says of the family: Although the U12 sequence is very divergent from that of U2, the two are functionally analogous. The record is from RNAcentral. Lineage: Eukaryota; Metazoa; Chordata; Lepidosauria; Squamata; Teiidae.
AUGCCUUAAACUAAUGAGUAAGGAAAAUAACGAUUUGGGUUGAUGCCUGGGCCCUCAGUGCUAAUGUGAGAGGAAUUUUUGGACAGGUACAGGUCAUCCCUAUGGUGAUCAGCCUACUUAGUGGGAAGCCUGGGUAUUUUUUUUAUAUA